CAAAUCUUUAUAAACCGAUUGAAAGAGUCAUGUGAAUGUGAUAAUACACCUAGUUAUUUUGUUUCAUGUGACCACUGCUACAUGACGACGAGUGAAUGACAAACGGCGAAGGCGUUACAGCAUGGCACAGUCUGAGAGUGGCAGCCGUGCCGCGUGUGUGCCGUGUGGUGGUGACUUCGUGGCAGCGUAUUAAUAAACGCAAGCUCAGAGCACGAGCUGCGUAUCAGUAUGGCCGUGAUAGCGCGACAGCGAAAUAUUGAAAAUCUAAAUAUUAUGUUAACUGUAAACAACACGUGCGGCUAGCAAACAAACAACACCUGCACUUGUUUACGACACACGUGCAAGGUACGGUAGUGGGGACAACCCUUAUAAGAAGGCGAGCCGCACGAGUUGUACCAUUCUUGUGUCGAACUCCGUACAGAGAACAUCCAAUAAAAGUAAUCCGUGACAGUGA
Molecule: long non-coding RNA, 454 nt
Organism: Pectinophora gossypiella (pink bollworm)
Lineage: Eukaryota; Metazoa; Arthropoda; Insecta; Lepidoptera; Gelechiidae
Exons: 2
Source: RefSeq, a predicted model, not a curated record